AUCAGGGCAGAGCAAGCAGCAUAAGCAUCAACAUAUUUGCUUCAGUUAUCCCAAUCCUAACUCCCACAGAGUGAUGGAUGGAGACCAGGGGACAUCUAUACAUUCAGCUGGGUGCAUUCAAGACAGGAACCUGUAACAUUACAAUUCUUCAAUGAUAACAUCUGCCAGUGAGAGCUUACUAUGUACCAGGUGAUAGUCUAAGAAUUUUAUUUAUUUAUUUAUUUAUUUAU
Molecule: long non-coding RNA, 230 nt
Organism: Leopardus geoffroyi (Geoffroy's cat)
Lineage: Eukaryota; Metazoa; Chordata; Mammalia; Carnivora; Felidae
Exons: 3
Source: RefSeq, a predicted model, not a curated record